UACAUGGGGUGCAAACGUUGCUCGGAAUUAUUGGGCGUAAAGCGCGUGUAGGCUGCUCGGAAAGUCGGAUGUGAAAGCCCUGGGCUCAACCUAGGAAGUGCAUUCGAAACUUCCGAGCUGGAGUGCUGGAGAGGAAGGCGGAAUUCUCGGUGUAGAGGUGAAAUUCGUAGAUAUCGAGAGGAACACCGGUGGCGAAGGCGGCCUUCUGGACAGCCACUGACGCUGAGACGCGAAAGCGUGGGGAGCAAACAGG
RNAcentral lists this ribosomal RNA (253 nucleotides) under uncultured bacterium. RNAcentral's name for it is "partial 16S ribosomal RNA". It matches the Rfam family "Bacterial small subunit ribosomal RNA", at positions 524 to 776 of the family's 1533-position model. The record is from RNAcentral.